This 207-nucleotide ribosomal RNA is filed under the name uncultured bacterium. Its description in RNAcentral is "partial 16S ribosomal RNA". It matches the Rfam family "Bacterial small subunit ribosomal RNA", at positions 568 to 774 of the family's 1533-position model. The record is from RNAcentral.
CGUCUAGGCGGAUCGGUCAGUCGGCUGUGAAAGCCCCCGGCUCACCCGGGGAAGUGCAUCCGAUACUGUCGGUCUUGAGGACGAGAGGGGAGAGUGGAACUCCUGGUGGAGCGGUGAAAUGCGUAGAUAUCAGGAGGAACGCCGGUGGCGAAAGCGACUCUCUGGCUCGUUCCUGACGCUGAAGCGCGAAAGCCAGGGGAGCGAACG